ACUCAAAUGAAUUGACGGGGGCCCGCACAAGCGGUGGAGCAUGUGGUUUAAUUCGACGCAACGCGAAGAACCUUACCUACUCUUGAAUCCUAAGAAGUUUGCAGAAAUGCAGAUGUGCCGCAAGGAACUUAGAGACAGGUGCUGCAUGGCUGUCGUCAGCUCGUGUCGUGAGAUGUUGGGUUAAGUCCCGUAACGAGCGCAACCCUAAUUUUUAGUUACCAACAGGUUAAGCUGGGGACUCUAGAAAGACUGCCGGUGAUAAGCCGGAGGAAGGUUAGGACGACGUCAAGUCAUCAUGGCCCUUAUGAGUAGGGCUACACACGUGCUACAAUGGGUGUUACAAUUGGAAGCGAAACCGCGAGGUGGAGCAAAUCUAUCAAAAGCACUCGUAGUCCGGAUUGGAGUCUGCAACUCGACUCCAUGAAGCUGGAAUCGCUAGUAAUCGUGGAUCAGCACGCCACGGUGAAUACGUUCUCGGGCCUUGCACACACCGCCCGU
RNAcentral lists this ribosomal RNA (498 nucleotides) under uncultured bacterium. Its description in RNAcentral is "partial 16S ribosomal RNA". It matches the Rfam family "Bacterial small subunit ribosomal RNA", at positions 899 to 1397 of the family's 1533-position model. The record is from RNAcentral.